CACCCCCCAAGCCUUGCUUGAUGUUGGGCCAUGACGCGCUGUCAAGCCCCAAACCUUUAGGCGCCCCCUACUGGCCGCGAGCGUAGCAAGAAUUUUUUUCCCUCGCUUCGCGUGUCCAAUGGGCGGGUCGCCGAUUGACCCCCUAAAUUUUACAAG
Molecule: unclassified non-coding RNA, 156 nt
Filed under: Pseudosigmoidea excentrica
Lineage: Eukaryota; Fungi; Ascomycota; Dothideomycetes; Venturiales; Sympoventuriaceae
Description: partial internal transcribed spacer 2
Source: RNAcentral